GCGCCUGUGGUGUAGAGGAAACGUAUCGGCCUUCCACGCCGAGGUCGCGGGUUCGAGUCCCGCCAGGCGCU
RNAcentral lists this transfer RNA (71 nucleotides) under Armatimonas rosea. It matches the Rfam family "tRNA". Rfam says of the family: Transfer RNA (tRNA) molecules are approximately 80 nucleotides in length. The record is from Rfam by way of RNAcentral. Lineage: Bacteria; Bacillati; Armatimonadota; Armatimonadia; Armatimonadales; Armatimonadaceae.